RNAcentral lists this ribosomal RNA (321 nucleotides) under uncultured eukaryote. RNAcentral describes it as "partial 18S ribosomal RNA". It matches the Rfam family "Eukaryotic small subunit ribosomal RNA", at positions 1470 to 1796 of the family's 1831-position model. The record is from RNAcentral.
CCCUUAGAUGUCCUGGGCCGCACGCGCGCUACACUGACAUGUUCAACAAGCCUCCUAGUUCGACAGGAUUUGGGAAAUCUUUGAACGCAUGUCGUGAUAGGGAUAGAUCAUUCCAAUUAUUGAUCUUGAACGAGGAAUUCCUAGUAAACGCGAGUCAUCAGCUCGCAUUGAUUACGUCCCUGCCCUUUGUACACACCGCCCGUCGCACCUACCGAUUGAAUGUUUCGGUGAAGAUUCCGGAUAGGACUUUUUUGAUUUAUUUCAAUUUUGUCUUAAAAGCUAUCUAAACCUCAACAUUUAGAGGAAGGUGAAGUCGUAACA